RNAcentral lists this ribosomal RNA (394 nucleotides) under Mycobacteroides abscessus. RNAcentral's name for it is "bacterial SSU rRNA". It matches the Rfam family "Bacterial small subunit ribosomal RNA", at positions 37 to 437 of the family's 1533-position model. The record is from RNAcentral. Lineage: Bacteria; Bacillati; Actinomycetota; Actinomycetes; Mycobacteriales; Mycobacteriaceae.
AGUAUAUCCGCGGUCUUACACUGCAGUCGACGGAAGGCCCUUCGGGGUACUCGAGUGGCGAACGGGUGAGUAACACGUGGGUGAUCUGCCCUGCACUCUGGGAUAAGCCUGGGAAACUGGGUCUAAUACCGGAUAGGACCACACACUUCAUGGUGAGUGGUGCAAAGCUUUUGCGGUGUGGGAUGAGCCCGCGGCCUAUCAGCUUGUUGGUGGGGUAAUGGCCCACCAAGGCGACAACGGGUAGCCGGCCUGAAAGGGUGACCGGCCACACUGGGACUGAAAUACGGCCCACUUCCUACGGGAGGCAGCAGUGGGGAAUAUUGCACAAUGGGGCCAAGCCUGAUGCAGCGACGCCGCUGGAGGGAUGACGGCCUUCUUGUUGUAAACCUCUUUC